This is a long non-coding RNA of Aedes albopictus (Asian tiger mosquito), 140 nucleotides long. RefSeq lists it as uncharacterized. The record is from RefSeq and is a predicted model, not a curated record. NCBI's taxonomy places the organism in Eukaryota, Metazoa, Arthropoda, Insecta, Diptera, Culicidae. The transcript has 2 exons.
CGGUAUUGCAUCUUGCUUUGCUUUAUAGAUUACCGUGCAAAUGUUCAAUCGUCUAAAAUAUUUGUUCACACGUCAAACACCAAGGAAAGUAGCAACAGUGAAACGAACCAAUGUAUGCUGAAACUGGUGGGAACAUAUUG